GAAUUUCCGCAAUGGGCGAAAGCCUGACGGAGCAAUACCGCGUGAGGGAAGACUGCCUAUGGGUUGUAAACCUCUUUUUUCAGGGAGGAAUAAAAUGACGUGUACCUGAAGAAUAAGCAUCGGCUAACUCCGUGCCAGCAGCCGCGGUAAGACGGAGGAUGCAAGUGUUAUCCGGAAUCACUGGGCGUAAAGCGUCUGUAGGUGGUUUAAUAAGUCAACUGUUAAAUCUUGAGGCUCAACCUCAAAAUCGCAGUCGAAACUAUUAGACUAGAGUAUAGUAGAGGUAAAGGGAAUUUCCAGUGGAGCGGUGAAAUGCGUAGAUAUUGGAAAGAACACCGAUGGCGAAAGCACUUUACUGGGCUAUUACUAACACUCAGAGACGAAAGCUAGGGUAGCAAAUGGGAUUAGAUACUCCCAGUAGUCCUAGCCGUAAACUAUGGAUACUAGAUGUUGAACAGAUCGWCCUGUGCAGUAUCAARRCUAACGCGUUAAGUAUCCCGCUGGGAAGUAUGCUCGCAAGAGUGAAACUCA
This 531-nucleotide ribosomal RNA is filed under the name Thalassiosira rotula. RNAcentral's name for it is "bacterial SSU rRNA". It matches the Rfam family "Bacterial small subunit ribosomal RNA", at positions 359 to 903 of the family's 1533-position model. Lineage: Eukaryota; Bacillariophyta; Thalassiosirophyceae; Thalassiosirales; Thalassiosiraceae. The record is from RNAcentral.